AAAAAGGUAAAAUUUAGGCUGCUAACUUGAAUUUGGGUCAAUAAGUGUUCCCCUUUUUU
Molecule: transfer RNA, 59 nt
Filed under: Oreohelix idahoensis
Lineage: Eukaryota; Metazoa; Mollusca; Gastropoda; Stylommatophora; Oreohelicidae
Description: tRNA-Ser
Source: RNAcentral